CGGAGCAUGUGGUUUAAUUCGAAGCAACGCGAAGAACCUUACCAGGUCUUGACAUCCUCUGACAAUCUGAGAGAUCAGAUUUCCCUUCGGGGACAGAGAGACAGGUGGUGCAUGGUUGUCGUCAGCUCGUGUCGUGAGAUGUUGGGUUAAGUCCCGCAACGAGCGCAACCCCUGUGGUUAGUUGCCAUCAUUCAGUUGGGCACUCUAAGCAGACUGCCGUGGAUAACACGGAGGAAGGUGGGGACGACGUCAAAUCAUCAUGCCCCUUAUGACCUGGGCUACACACGUGCUACAAUGGUCUGAACAGAGGGCUGCGAAACCGCGAGGUGAAGCUAAUCCCUUAAAACAGAUCUCAGUUCGGAUUGCAGGCUGCAACUCGCCUGCAUGAAGUUGGAGUUGCUAGUAAUCGCAGAUCAGAAUGCUGCGGUGAAUGCGUUCCCGGGUCUU
This 447-nucleotide ribosomal RNA is filed under the name uncultured Acetobacterium sp. RNAcentral describes it as "bacterial SSU rRNA". It matches the Rfam family "Bacterial small subunit ribosomal RNA", at positions 933 to 1382 of the family's 1533-position model. The record is from RNAcentral. Lineage: Bacteria; Bacillati; Bacillota; Clostridia; Eubacteriales; Eubacteriaceae.